Molecule: long non-coding RNA, 485 nt
Filed under: Lotus japonicus
Lineage: Eukaryota; Viridiplantae; Streptophyta; Magnoliopsida; Fabales; Fabaceae
Description: long non-coding RNA (LJAP_LNC000711)
Source: RNAcentral
UUUUCAUUCUUCCAGGGCUUUUAAUCGUGUCACACGUUCUCCCUUUUAUGUCUUUCGUUUUCCUUCGAUCGGUUGUCAAGAUAUGCGAAGCCCGUUCCAGGUCGUGUGAGCAGAACUGAAGCAGAGCACGAACGAGGCGAAGCAGAUGAGACUGACCAGGUUGACCUGCGAUCUUUUAUUUUCUUUUCUUUCGUCUUUCUGAGCUUUGUGAGUCUCUGGUUGUUUUUUUUUAGGGGGGUCUUUGCUUCUUGCAGACAUUGGUGGAAUGAUCUGGGAUUUAGGGUGUUGCUUUGCAUCACCUGAGAGAGGACGAUCCAAUCCAAGUUGGAUGCAUUUUGGUUGAAAACCAGAUUUUGUGUAUCCCCUUUUUAAUCCUAAUUGAUGGUUUUGGUUCGGUCACUUUUCAUCGAAGCUGAUAGAGAAUUGGGGCUUUGAUGUCGAGGGGAUAUUGCAGUAAGUGAUUUUGAUUAGAGUCUAUUUUUGCA